Molecule: non-coding RNA, 3550 nt
Organism: Vicugna pacos (alpaca)
Lineage: Eukaryota; Metazoa; Chordata; Mammalia; Artiodactyla; Camelidae
Source: RefSeq, a predicted model, not a curated record
AGGCGCGUUCCGACUCGGGUCUGCUGUACGGGUCGCACUCAGUCUCUCUGGCUAUUUUGUGCGUUCCCAUCUGACAGCCCACAUUUCUCCGCCGCACACCUUGGCCGCAGGACACCGAGCACUGAGAAGACGAGAGUGCACAUUUUGACAUGAUGAAGAAUUGCGAUCAUUAUUCUUCCUACCUUGAAGAUGAGAUAACUUAGAAUAUAGCUACCAGCAGAAAACAGAAGGACCAGCACCGUUUUGGAUAACGUCUCAAGGCUCAAUAUGGAAGGAAGGUAGCACUGGAGAAAAAAAUGUCAACAGCAUUACAGCAGGAAUCCUGUCCAGUAUUUUGGGUCACUCAAGAGGGAGGGGAAACCCUGAUAAUUCAGGCCAAAAAAAUGAAGCCCAUGAACCUGAAAUUACCAUGAAAUUCUGACUGAAAGAAGUCCUACUAUGAAUUAGUAACGAUUCCUUCUGGACAUCUCACUUCACGCAAUCUCUGAUCAAGAUAUGCCUUCAAUAAAAUGCCUCGCGAUUUCACUCUUUUGGAGGAAGGUGCGUUUCCAAAAUACAGCUGCAUUCCAUUUCCUAGCGAAAUGAUUUAAGGAAACUCUUAUACCAUUUUUCAGAGGAUAAGCUCUCAUUUUCCCAGUCCACAGGAAAGAAGGUGAAAAAGGCACAUCAGAAACUGAAAGGACUUGAAUGGAACUGAUUUGGAAAAGAAAGACUGACACUUCAGCAUGACUUGCUACACAUAAUAUUUGCCUAAAAUUAAGAUCGAAAAGUGAUAAGGAAAUUCUCAAGACUAAAGUCGAAGAGUCUGGAAGCCAUGCAUUUCAACACAUCCGGUGGAGACGAAAUUCAAGGCCUGGGCAGCGUGCUCAGAACCUCCACCGAGGGCUGGCUCUCUCUCUCGUGGUAGCUCUGGCUAUGGCGUGGAUAUGCGUCCCACGGUUCCCGAUGUGCCGUCCCUGGCAUUAGGGAUGCCCUGCAUCGAUCCUUUCACUUACAUUGAUGUGCAUGGUCUCUUAGUCACCGAGAAGCCAGCAAACAACCCCAGUGUGUCUGCCUGGAUGAGAAGGGCCGAUGACCUGGAAAGAAUGAGACUCCCAGCGCUACCAAGGCUGCUGAGAACCUGGACGUCCAAAUGGAGAUGGAGGCCCACACAGAAGUGGUACAAUGAAAAGAGGGCCUGGUUAAGAAAACAGGCUGCUCACCUCUGCUCACCCACAGCGAUAACAGAAAACAAGGACCUCAAAGAAAUGUCCCUUAAGAAUAUUUUGGAGACCUCUGAUUGCUUAGUCUAGCAGAAGUAGAGUGGUUAUGUAAUAUAUUUCUGACUUUAAUAUUUUCUCCACAAUACCUUUAGCAUCCUGGAAAGAAAGACACUAUGAAAAGCAAAUAAACAGUCACAUAAAUAAAGGGCCACAUUUCCCUAUGGCCAAAGCCACACCCUGGUUUUCUCUUGGCUGUUUUCUAGGGUUGAUUCACCCUUUGAGGCUGGUCUGAUGCCACCUGGUGAACGACUGUCUCCGUUCACUGGUGAACGGCCCUUUGCAUGGUCAUGAAUGGAAGGUUACAUGUAAAUUGUGGCCUGCCGAUUCACCAAGGACUAACUAAACUCUCAAAUGUUUGAGCUGUAGGUCAUCUCAGAGGUUUGACAAAUUUGUUUGACAAAUUCAACACUGUGGAAAAGGAGACGCGGCAUGCUCACAGUCACAUGACAGGGAAGGAGUAGAUGGAGACUUAGGACUAAGAGGAGUUGGUGUACCCAGCACAGAACAGUGUUUGGUACCAAUUGCACUGGGGAUCUGUGACCAGAUUUGGUAUUCUGCAUGGUUCCUGGGAACAGAUGUUCUGAUUCUUUCCACGCCGGUUCAGUCAUGCUCACCCAGAGCUGGCACGAUGGGCUGGGACUAGCCAAGGCAGGCAUGAGUUCUGCACCUCUGGCUCUGAGAGACUUCCAAUUCCAAUAUGAACAAGCAUGGGUUUAAUCACCGCUUGUUCCAAGGGCCCAGUUAAGAAUAAACUCCAUGGAGUGGCUGGGCAUGGGUAUCAUCACAGGAUACCACAGCUCACACACGGGUGCUGGCCUUCACCCUGCUCUAAGAUGUAGCCCUUAAAGGCACAUAUUUUGGAGUCAGACAGACCAAGGUUGGACCGAGGUUGGAAUGUUAUCUGCCAUUUUGCCCCGGUGCCACCUGGGGCAAGUUACUGACCCUCUCUCAACUCAGAUGCAUUCUCUGUAAAAUGGAGGUGGUAGCCCCAUCCAUCUAUACUCAGUGGAGUUGUGUUACAAUCAGACAAGACAAUGCAUAGAGAGCUCUUGGGGUUUUGGCCUGAGAGUGUAAAAAUCAACACACGUUCACUGUCCCUGCUACUAAUGCUUCUACUCAGCAGAGUCUUUUAAAAUAUCUUCUAAGACGUAGGUUACAUGGUGAAUAUUUAAAAAAAAAUGGAGUCGAAAAUUAACAUUCUAAUACAGGCACUGCUGGGUGAAGGAGAAACUCAGCCUGGCAAAAUCUCACCCGUGUGAAUGGGUGAAAAGCUUUCCUUUCUAAAGGUCACAGAGAAAUCCCCAGAGCAGAUAUAAACAUUGAUGAUUCCUUCUUUUCUGUGGGGGCCCGUUACACUCUUACAGACUCUUACCUAUUAACAUGGUCUCUUCUAACCACAGAAGACGGAAAGACAUGUAAGAAAAAGAAAGACACCACAUCUGAAAGCCGUAUCUCUUUUCUACGCCAUUUCCGGCUCAGGCUUCCUAUCGCAAGAACGCCUGGUGUUUCUCAUUUGUUUUUUUAUGUUAUUUCUUUAAACGUCCUGAGGCAGAGAAUCAGCACCAGCGCUAAUCAUUACCAAACACAGACUCACUGACUUGCAUGCUCUGUUUGGCUCAGCGGUGGGAGUGGUCACAGGCCUUUGUCAGAAAGCUGAUCUCCUUAUUGGUGACAUGAACAUGCUUAGGGAAAUGUUUAUAGGGCUUCUCACAAGACAAGAAUGGCUCUGAACAGGGGCAUCAGGGAACCAAAAUGACCGAGGAGGAAGGAGAGAAAGCUUGGCCAGGAAACAAGGGCUGUGACUUCAGGGCGUAAAGCCAGUGUUGACAGGCCUGCCUGAUGGCCGUUCAUGUUCAGGACCACCAUGGCACUUAUUAUCAUGAAAAGGAGCUGAGAAAGCCUGAGAUUGGCAGGGAACACCAUGGAAGAAAGCGGAUGUGGGAGUCACGGUCAUUGCAGCCGGAUGGGGCAUUGGGCCAUCCUUCCAGCCCAGUUGCCCCCAACACCCUGAGCCUUUGCAAAGCUACAAAGGUCUGAGACUGCGGGAGAAAAGGAACUAAGAUUCACAUGUCAACUCUUGGAACACACUUGAAGACUCCUAUCAAUACUAUAUCCAAGUAGGUGGCCCUGCAUAUGCCUCGCAGGGGAGGUGGCAGGGCCAGGCAAAGAAGAAGAGGCAGUGAGGGGUGCUCACGAGCCCCACACUUCCCAUCACCUCCAAGGAUUAUGAGGUAUGGGGCUCUCCAGUUGCCCCUCCCCCCACCUCAAAAUGUGACAACUUCAUAUUA